CGCACAUUGCGCCCUUCGGUAUUCCGUGGGGCAUGCCUGUUCGAGCGUCAUUGACACCCUCAAGCCUUGCUUGGUGUUGGGCGUCUGUCCCGGGUUGCACCCCGCGCGGACUCGCCUUAAAGGUAUUGGCAGCGGACCCUCUGGCCUCCUAAUCGCGCAGCACUGCCCGCGCCGCCUGGAGCCUGCAGGGGACAGCGUCCACGAAGCCUACUUCUCCUAAGUUUGACCUCGGAUCAGGUAGGGAUACCCGCUGAACUUAA
This 260-nucleotide unclassified non-coding RNA is filed under the name Pleosporales sp. Its description in RNAcentral is "partial contains 5.8S ribosomal RNA, internal transcribed spacer 2, and large subunit ribosomal RNA". The record is from RNAcentral. Lineage: Eukaryota; Fungi; Ascomycota; Dothideomycetes; Pleosporales.